ACGAACGCUGGCGGCGUGCUUAACACAUGCAAGUCACGGGGGCCCGGUGGCAACAUCGGGCAACCGGCGAACGGGUGCGUAACACGUGAGCAACCUGCCAAUCUGUGGGGGAUAGCCGGCCCAACGGCUGGGUAAUACCGCAUACGCUCAUCGGGGGACAUCCCCUGGUGAGGAAACCUCCGGGGCGGAUUGAGGGGCUCGCGACCUAUCAGCUAGUUGGCGAGGUAACGGCUCACCAAGGCAUCGACGGGUAGCUGGUCUGAGAGGAUGGCCAGCGACAUUGGGACUGCGACACGGCCCAGACUCCUACGGGAGGCAGCAGUGGGGAAUAUUGCGCAAUGGACGAAAGUCUGACGCAGCGACGCCGCAUGUGGGAUGAAGCUCUUCGGGGUGUAAACCACUGUUGCCCGGGAAGAAACUCCUGAUUCGUCAGGACUGACGGUACCGGGUGAGGAAGCACCGGCUAACUCUGU
This 473-nucleotide ribosomal RNA is filed under the name uncultured bacterium. Its description in RNAcentral is "bacterial SSU rRNA". It matches the Rfam family "Bacterial small subunit ribosomal RNA", at positions 29 to 506 of the family's 1533-position model. The record is from RNAcentral.